This 72-nucleotide transfer RNA is filed under the name Usnea mutabilis. Its description in RNAcentral is "tRNA-Met". It matches the Rfam family "tRNA". From Rfam's summary of the family: Transfer RNA (tRNA) molecules are approximately 80 nucleotides in length. Their secondary structure includes four short double-helical elements and three loops (D, anti-codon, and T loops). The record is from RNAcentral. Lineage: Eukaryota; Fungi; Ascomycota; Lecanoromycetes; Lecanorales; Parmeliaceae.
GCCGGGAUAGUUCAAAGGUCGUAACGUGAACCUCAUACAUUCAAGGCGAGGGUUCGAUUCCCUCUCCCGGCU